GAAAGAUGAAAAGAACUUUGAAAAGAGAGUUAAACAGUACGUGAAAUUGUUGAAAGGGAAACGAUUAAAGCCAGUCGUACCGGCGGGUAAUCAGCCUUUUGGGUGUGAUUAUGUGGAACGUGAGGAGUUUAAUCGCCUUCAUGCCUGCAUAUUCGUGCACUUUGGGUGUACUUGCUCGUGUGGUAGGUUAACAUCAAUUUCGAUCAUCAUAAAAUGAUUGGGGGAAUGUAGCUUCGAUCUCGUGUUGAAGUGUUUUAUA
RNAcentral lists this ribosomal RNA (259 nucleotides) under uncultured Rhizophagus. RNAcentral describes it as "partial large subunit ribosomal RNA". It matches the Rfam family "Eukaryotic large subunit ribosomal RNA", at positions 359 to 614 of the family's 3401-position model. The record is from RNAcentral. Lineage: Eukaryota; Fungi; Glomeromycota; Glomeromycetes; Glomerales; Glomeraceae.